RNAcentral lists this transfer RNA (68 nucleotides) under human gut metagenome. It matches the Rfam family "tRNA". From Rfam's summary of the family: Transfer RNA (tRNA) molecules are approximately 80 nucleotides in length. Their secondary structure includes four short double-helical elements and three loops (D, anti-codon, and T loops). The record is from RNAcentral.
UGGUAUAGCUCAGUUGGUAGAGCAGCGCAUUCGUAAUGCGCAGGCCGCGGGUUCGAGUCCCAUUACCA